RNAcentral lists this ribosomal RNA (254 nucleotides) under uncultured bacterium. Its description in RNAcentral is "partial 16S ribosomal RNA". It matches the Rfam family "Bacterial small subunit ribosomal RNA", at positions 107 to 354 of the family's 1533-position model. The record is from RNAcentral.
UGAGUAACACGUGAGUGACCUGCCUUUUAGACUGGAACAACUUACCGAAAGGUGAGCUAAUGCCGGAUGAGUUAUAUAAAUGCAUGUUUAUAUAGGAAAAGUUGGGGAGACCUGACGCUGAAAGAUGGACUCGCGUCCCAUUAGCUAGUUGGUAGGGUAAUGGCCUACCAAGGCGACGAUGGGUAGCCGGCCUGAGAGGGUGGCCGGCCACACUGGGACUGAGACACGGCCCAGACUCCUACGGGAGGCAGCAG